GACGAACGCUGGCGGCGUGCUUAACACAUGCAAGUCGAACGGAAAGGCCCUGCUUUUGUGGGGUGCUCGAGUGGCGAACGGGUGAGUAACACGUGAGUAACCUGCCCUUGACUUUGGGAUAACUUCAGGAAACUGGGGCUAAUACCGGAUAGGAGCUCCUGCUGCAUGGUGGGGGUUGGAAAGUUUCGGCGGUUGGGGAUGGACUCGCGGCUUAUCAGCUUGUUGGUGGGGUAGUGGCUUACCAAGGCUUUGACGGGUAGCCGGCCUGAGAGGGUGACCGGCCACAUUGGGACUGGGAUACGGCCCAGACUCAUACGGGAGGCAGCAGUGGGGAAUAUUGCACAAUGGGCGGAAGCCUGAUGCAGCAACGCCGCGUGCGGGAUGACGGCCUUCGGGUUGUAAACCGCUUUCGCCUGUGACGAAGCGUGAGGGACGGUAAUGGGUAAAGAAGCACCGGCUAACUACGU
This 467-nucleotide ribosomal RNA is filed under the name uncultured bacterium. Its description in RNAcentral is "partial 16S ribosomal RNA". It matches the Rfam family "Bacterial small subunit ribosomal RNA", at positions 28 to 506 of the family's 1533-position model. The record is from RNAcentral.